UUUUUUUUUUUUUUUUUUGUUGGUUGUUUGUUUUUUUUGGUUGGCUUUUGUUGUUAUGUUUGUUUUGUUUCCCCAGAAUUACAAAUAGAUUUGGAUAUUCAGAAAAUUCAUUCUCUCACUGCUCGAACUGGUGCAGUGGCAGUGACUGGGCAUGGGGGUGCCUGACAGUGCCUCAGAGGGCCAGCCAAGACCCCUCAGGGUGCCUGUGUAACUCAGAUUUACUGCCAAGUGUGUUCUACAGAGAGCACACAGGUCUGGAAACAUCACAGUGUGUCAUUCAAAAUGAUGCAGCACCAUCUGAGCGUGGCACAGCGCUGAGGCCACAUGCAGAGCUCCCAGCAGAGGCUCAGGGAGCUGGGCUGGCAGGGCUGGCUCCCCCAUGGAAAGGGCUCAGCUCCAGCAUCCUGCCAGGGCACAGCUCCCUGGGACAUGGCUGAAGUGACAGUCACUACUUGGAGCUGCUCUCCAGACUGCCAUUUAACAAGCUGUCAGGAUGACUUAAAAAUAGCACAGGAUCCAAGUGCAAAACAGAGUUCUGGUGUGCUUGUUCUGCUUUCCUUGCUGUGAUUUUAUCAGGAAUUGGCCAGCUUAAUUUAGCUUUGCUAGUUGCCAGGAAAUAGCAUAAUUUUGUUUUAAAUUUGCUUCUUGGCUGGAUUUUCCAAUCUAAUCCAGUCCCAGUUGCCCCUCGGUGACAGGCUGCAGCAGUUUGCACCACAUCCAGGCCCUGUCCCUGCUCCCACUGCUGAGGACAACGUGGCCACCAGGCAGCCCUGGUGUCCCCUGGCGCUGCCGUGCCCACAUUCAUAAAAACAAGCUAUAGUUACUGCCUACAAAAAAAGCUGACACUUUUAUAAAUGCUCAGAAGCAGAAAUCCCUCAUUACAGCGUUACCUUGUGAAGGUGUAAGCUUUUGGGUUGAGCUGGGAGGAGGUGUGAAAUAAAGGAAUGUAAAGUACCUGCAGCACUGACACUGAAACUGAGACAUCUUCCAGCUGGCUGUGACUUUAAAUUGCUUGUAAGACUGAGAUCCUCCUCCAGCUCAAGCAAGAGCUGCUUUGUCAGUUUGAAACUAAUCCAGCCAAGGUAAAUAUCAAGGUUUAACUAGCACAGAUAAAAUGAGAGUGAUCAUGCAGCUCUUCAAAAGGUAAUCCAUUACCAUGCUUAAAACUUAAUAUUCAGAAAAAACAAUAACAUGUUUUUGAAUAGGAUUUAAGAUUACUAAAAGUAGAGAGGUCAUUUGGAAAAUGUCACAGCCUUGGUGAGCAGAUCUGGGGAUGGCUGCAAGUACCCAGUAGCAUAUUAAAAGAUAAAUCUUGCAUAUUUAGAAUUCAUCAAAAUAUAGUAUGAGGAUCUCUUGGAUUUCUGGUUUAUCUGUCUCUAUCUUUCAGUUUGCCUUUUUGCAUUAUAUUUCAACAUCUUGAACUUGACUUUCUGCUUCAGAUACAAAUGAAAACUACCUCCAAGGAAUUAAAAAAAUUCUUCUAGUAAAGAAGUGAUAACUCUACUGUCUGUUUGCAGAAAGACUUCAACACAGCUAGUCCCUGGGUAGCUUCUCUUUUUACUUUCCUUUAGGUGUUCUGUUAGAAAAUGACUUCCAAUAUUUUUGAGAUCAGAUUCUCUUCUAAGGAUCCUAUUUUUAUCUUGCUUUUAUGAGAUUCCGAAGAACAUUACUUGGUCAUCAUCCAGAACUGUAUUUCUUUUCAUGUAUCAAAUUCCAUCUGUAACUGUUAUCCAACUGCACUAAGACUAUACUUUAGCUAAGGAAUCUAGAAAUAUUGCUUUGCCACCUAUUUUCCUUUUCCAGUCUUUCCAGUUCCAGUCUUUUCCAGUUCUGUAACUCAGUCUUCCUCGGUAAAAUCUAAAACUACCCCAGCCCUGGCUCAUUUCUUGUCCCAUCACACAGAUCAAACUAGUCAAAGGCUCUUUUGCAGUCAAGACACGUGAACUUGUGUUGCUGAGCUGUUAUGUAAGAAACCAAGCCUGACCUUAUUUUCCAGGGAGCACUUCCUCCACCUCCCACCUUCACAGGUGUCUGGCUCCCUGUCAGGCUCUUCAGGGACCCAGGACUUCUCAGACUGGCAGUGGUUGCCUACAUUCCCAGUUUCAAAGAUGGGAACCAAGAUGUCUUUGUGUAAGCCCCAAACAUGAUCCUGCUGCUCCGUCUGGUUCUCUGAAAUCUUACCUGCUUAAAAUCCCUCAAGGUUCAUGGAUGCUGCUCCAGGUAAGCUUCUGCUGUCCCCCCUGCUCACAGUAAUAUACCUCAAACAGCAAGCUUCUACUUGUUUUUGUAGAUUUGAAUAAAUCCCUCCCCAAAACAAUGCAAACUCUUCCUGGUUUUACUGAAAAAAAAAAAUUAAUUUACACAAGUAUGGAGGAUGCUGCUGCUUUUAGGAAGUGCCCCUUGUGCACACUGAAGAGGAAUUUGGGAGUUGUCAGACAUGGGUUUCUCUCUUCUUGUUAUCCUCACAUAACCCUUACCAAAAGAAAUAAUUAGAAAGCAAAAUUCUCCAAAUUCCAAGUAUCGAGAGGAAAUGUGGGCAAAAAAAAAAAAAAUUAAAGGUUCCAAGAAACAGAAUUUGCAUAUCAUAAAUCUGUAGGCAGCACUGCAAAUCGUAUUUCUUUCUCUUUUGAAAGCAACUUCCCUCUGCAUUCACAAUUCAGCCUAAUAAAUUUCAUAGCAACCCUGUGAAGUGCACAAAUAACAGACCUCAAUAAGUCACAGUAAGAACUCGGAGAGCCUAGGACAGAAAGAGGUCCCAAAGCUGCCUUGAAAUACCUGAUUUCUCAGGCAGUUACCACCCAGCAUUGACACUGCCUUUUCCAAUAC
Long non-coding RNA from Taeniopygia guttata (zebra finch), 2826 nucleotides. NCBI's taxonomy places the organism in Eukaryota, Metazoa, Chordata, Aves, Passeriformes, Estrildidae. The record is from Ensembl.